AGGUGCCCACUUCUUCUCCCUGGAGGCAGCCAGUACUGUUAGUUGCCUGUAUAUUCCUCCAGAGAUGUUUUGUGCACAUAAAGAGAAAUCUCAUUGACCUAAGAUGGUUGGAGAAGGCCUUUCUGGAGAAUGAACAUUUUUGAUCAGAGUGGAGCAGAGAACAAGAUCCAGUUGGCUUGGCCAAACAUGGCACCAGGGAGCCGUGGAAGCCUCCUCAGCUGGGGAGUGAUGUUUCUGCGUCAUCAAACAUUUAUGACAAGACGGAGCAACACAGAGUGACUUGGAAUGAAUUCAACAGACCAAUAUUUUGAAAUCAGGGUGGCUUGACUUCCUUUAGAGAGAACAGUUCUCCCAUCUCUUCGAGGCAUCAUCCAGAGGAGGAAGAACAGCAAGGUUCCCAGUCCCAGAGAGCACAACUCUGGUCACACGUUCCAACUCACCGACCAUGAAGUAGCUUAACAGUCUUCUUCGAAUAAGUGAGAAGGAAGCUCCAUGUACCGAAGAGAGAGCCCUCCAGACCUGUGGUCAGACCUCGUUUCUCCUAUGACCUUAGGUCUGCCUGCUCUCCUGCUGAAGGGGAAAGCUCAUGUUGGCAAUGGCCAAGAAUUCCUCCAAAGAUUGAAAUUGCAGCUAGACCAGGAAAGUGAUCUGGCCGUAGGCGGAGUCCCCGCAGUAAAAGUGUUUCUGUAGCUGGGAGUUCACAGCUGCCGUAAAACCUAAAUGUCAGCAACUCCCGUGGUGUUGGAUCACGUGCUACCCCGCUUACAGCCAGCAGCCCUGACAUCGGGGCCAAGCAUCUCAGCAUGCAGAAGUUUCUGGGCCAGGGAUCAACCUGGUGCCACAGCAGGAACCAGAGUACAGCAGUGACAACUCCAGAGCCACCAGGAAACGCCCACAUUAACCUUUAAUUGGAGAAGUAAUUCACAGAAUACAUGCUCCCUGUAAAAGAUUUUAAAAGGUAAGCCCUAUAUCUCUUUUCACCACCUCUUCCAGUCUCCGAACCCCUCAGAGGCAGCCAGUUUUCAGUUCAGCAAAAGCUCUCAAUCAGUGCAUUUAAUUAGUUAUCCGUGUGCCUCUAUAAAAUGUGUAUCUGUGACCUAAGGAAAACUUGCAUAUUUCUGUACCUAUAGAAAAUGUGGAGGUUUUGUGUGGAUUUUUUUUUUUUACAUGAGUGAUAUCAUAUGGUACAUGUCUUAAUGUGAUUUUUUUCCCACAGCUGUCUGUCUCAUAGCCUUUAUUGUGUAUAUAUAAAUCUACCUUACUCUUCCAAAUGUUCCAUACAUUUCCAUGGGAUAGAUUUGGCCUAGUUUUGACUGCCAUUCUUCUAUGUACAAAUAUUUGGGUUGAUUUUUUGAUUUUUUAUUUCAUUUUUACAAAAAGUGCCAUGGUGCACAUUCUUUUACAGAAGCAAGUGUCUGAACAGAUUUUUUUUUUCCUCUAUAGAAGAAAUCAAGAAAUAGAAUUUCUGGGUCAUGGGACAUACACUGUUUUUAUUUUAAUGGAUAUUGCCAAAUUGCUGAGGUCAUUUUGAGUUUACUUUUAUCUUCUAGAUAAAAUCUCCUAGAAUCUUCUAGAAUGCCUUAGAUUGGAGCUUAAUUAUCAAAAUGUAAUUCUGAAGUAUUCUAUCAGGUAAGAUGGCAGGAAUGUGUAUUCAUUCCUUAGCCCAUCCGUCUCUGUCUUCUGAGGAUCCAGCAUGGCUCCUGAUAUGGUGUCGAGUCAAUAAAUGUUGCUUAGGUGGUCUCCUUUGCACCAGCCACACCCUCAAGGGGCCUCAGCCCGAAACCUGAUUCCUUUAUGCAGCUGCCAACCACCAGCUCAGCUUUCCAGACAGUGCUCAAAUAUCCCCUCUUUUUGGAAGCCCUCCCUGGAGUCCAGGCUGAGUAAGGCAGCUUCUCUUCUGUGUCCCCAUGGCACCCUUAUUUAUUGGCUUGUCAUGCUUAUUGCAAUUUGGAAUUUGGUCACCUCUCCCCUGUUACACCAGGCAGUCUCGGGAAUUCAGUGGUGCCUGGCCUUUAGGCAUCACCUGAUCAGUGUUUGUGGACUGCUGACAGAACAACAAGCAUGUAGGCCUGGCAGUCUGUCAGCUUGGAGAGAGAGAGGGCCAGGUGUAUGCAGUAUUCUUCAUAUCGAGCUUAAUAGGAAACGGCUGUAAGAAAUUAGAUGGCUAGGGUGGCUCAGUGGUAACAAACCCAGGUUCAAUCCCUGGCCCAGUUCAGUGGGUUAAGGAUCCCACAUUGCCGUGAGCUGUGGUAUGGAUCACAGAUGUGGCUUGGAUCCAGGGUUGCUGUGGCUGUGGCGUAGGCCAGCAGCAACAGCUCUGAUUCAACCCCUAGCCUGGGAACUUCCAUAUGCCACAACUGCAGCCCUAAAAAGCAAAAGAAAGAAGAAAAAAAAAUUAGGUGGCUAAUAAUUGACCCUUGACAGUGAUUAUGAUGCUGAUAAAAAUGAUGAAUGAUUGGUAAGAAGGGUAAAUAGUAAACUCUCUCACACAUAAAAAUUUAGAACCACAUCAUUUCACCUCUUGGGAAAAUGUUUAUAACACUCUUCACUUCAAUAUUUCGCCAUGAAACCUAGAAGUUUCUUAGGCAAUUUAUCUUUUCAAAUGCAUCUCAGGGAAUGACAAACAGUAGCCAGAAAGCUGCUCAAAGAGUUCGAGUAUGGCAGCUCAUGGUCAUAAAUCUCUGGGUAGGAUCCUGAUUCUGAAAAGAAACACGAGAAAAGACUGAAAUAAAUCUACCAAGGUGUUAAUCAUGGCAGCACCACUGGAGUUAGGGUGAUGUGUGAUAUUCUUUUCUUCUUUUUACUUUUCUCAAAUCUUUCAGAUUAUACCAUGUAUGUAAAUUCAUUUUACACACACAAAAAAACAAACCAAAACCGAAAACAGACAUAAUCAAAAACAUUUCUAGCAAUUAAUGAAGUUGCUAAGGAGGCAAUUUUAAAUCAUCUAUAAUGGGUGGACAUCUAUGACAUGAGAAUAUAAUUCCAAGAAGGCUAACCUGAGCUAUCAGUUCAUUUGAUAUGAAUUGGGUACUACAACCAAAGACUGUGCUUGGGGCGGGGCUUAAAGUGCAAACAUCAGGUAUACUUCCUACCCUCAGGCAGUUCACAGACUACUGCUAGCCACAAACUCAAGCCACUAAUGGGAGCCAGGCAGCAAAGAGAAAGGAAUGAAAUCCUCCAACAGGCCCUCCUCUAAUAUUUGCUAACAUUUGCUGGCCUUGGAAAAAGUUAAAUGGAAAUCCAUUUACCAGAUGGAUUUAAAACAAGUUAACAAAUCGAAGUGGCUUCUAGUUGUCUACCUUGACACAUGUCCCUUUAUAAUGGCUCUUCUUCUCUUCCCGUGCCUGACUCCAUCACCCAAAGUAGGGAACUUUGUGCAGGUGGAUGGACAGACAUCCUGGCCACACAUUUAAGCUUCAGUCCCUCCCCUUCCCCAUCCCCAGCUUUCUCUUGGCCACUUCUCAGGCACGGGGUAUGUUCCCUAGUAUACGAUUUGCCCUUGGGAGAACUAACUGAGAAAUAAGUCUCUGCAGGCUCUGGAAACAGGCUUGGGUCACAUGGGCAGGGAAUUCCAAGGCCCAGCAGCAUGAUCUAGAAGAGGCAGUGCUGCAUCCAGGCUGCAUGGGGUCAAGGGCAGAGGCCCACUUUGCCUGAAUCUUAGGGAAGCACUAUCCCCUGGGAGGGUUGGGACUCUGGUGUGUGCUGGAGAAUAAAUGCCCCAAGUUACAACAACAGCGGCUACUCAGCUCCAUCCAUGUGGGGACAUGGAUUCGGAGGGCCACAUCUUCUACUUUAUUUUAUUUAUUUACUUUCUUUUUAUAGCCACACCUGCAGCAUAUGGAAGUUUCCAGGCUAGGGAGUGAGUGGGAAUUAGAGCUGCCUACCUAUGCCACAGCCACAGCAACGCCAGAUCCAAGCCGCAUCUUCGACCCAUACCACAGCUCACAGCAAUGCCAGAUACUGAACACACUGAAUGAGGCGAAGGAUGGAACCUACAUCCUCAUGGAAAAUAUAUAUCAGGUUCUUAACCUUGAGCCACAGCGGGAACUCCCACAUCUUCCACUUUUUAAAGAGAGGACACAAACCUGGGCUUUCUUAUGGAAUUGCAUCAUUUUUACAUGUAAGCAAGGAAUAACAAUAAUUUUAAAACCAAAGAAUCAUUCUGCUGGGCAAAUUGAAAAUAUCCGUGAACCACUGUGACCUCUAUGAAAGGAAAGAAAUUUAAAAUCCCAUUUACAUGUUGCUUGACCACUGUUUGGUUUUGAAAAUGAUAUUCACCAAUUCAUUAAUGUCACUUAAGCCCAUAAGUAAGUGAUACAUCUCCGUAGCUAUAUAUAUGUCUGAACUUCAUGCACUUUCUGUUCCGCAGCAGAAAUCUAAUUUACUUGGUACUCCUAGUACUGAUGUAUGUCCCCAUAAGCUAUCAGGAAAGACCUGGUUUUUGGAUCUGCACAUUUUUCUUCCUGGACGUUGACUUUCCUCAUGUCCUCCUCUGGCCUACCGUAAUAACCUGGGCACAUACCUCUCGCUGCAUUUCCCAUAUUGUGCUAUCUUUAGCUCUAUACAUGUUUGUCACUUCAAGAAUUAUCUCCAGGAGUUCCCGUCGUGGCGCAGCAGAAACGAAUCCGACUAGGAACCCUGAGGUUGCAGGUUCGAUCCCUGCCCUCACUCAGUGGGUUAAGGAUCUGGCGGUGCCGUGAGCUGUGGGGUAGGUUGCAGACGUGGCUCAGAUCCCACGUUGCUGUGGCUCUGGUGUAGGCUGGCAGCUGUAGCUCCAAUUCGACCCCUAGCCUGCAAACCUCCAUAUGCCAUGAGUGUGGCCCUAAAGAGCAAAAAAAAAAAAAAAAAAAAGAAUUAUCUCCAUGUUCCCAGGGCCCAUCACAGAGCCUGUCAUGUGGUGGAUGCCUAGCACCAUUUGUUUGUUCUAACUGACUUUGUCAGUGGUUGAUUCUCUGUGAUGACCCACAUCUCCCCAAUCACAAAAUAAUAAUAAUCAUAGGAGACAUUUCUUGGACACUUAAAUAUAGGUAGGUGCCAUGCCAGGAGCUUUAUGUAAAUUACCUCAUAUGAUUCUUUCAACUAACUGCUCAACACAUUUUUUAUCCCCACUUUCCAGGUGCAGAAACUGAGACUCAGGGACACAAAAAGCCCUGUGUGCGUUUUAUUCAGCUGGCAAAUGUCAGGGGUGGGACUUGAACCAAUCUUGCCUGAUUCCAAAGUACACCAUUACAUAACCAGUAAGCCAGACUUCCCUAAAAGGGUCACUCCCACUUCUUGAGAUGUUUUAGGUAGCACAGAGGAAUUCAUUUCAAUUACUAAGCAUUUGUUUGACUCAAUGUUUAUUUUAGUGUGUUUGAAAAGGCAAAUAAAUGAC
RNAcentral lists this long non-coding RNA (5374 nucleotides) under Sus scrofa (pig). RNAcentral's name for it is "lncRNA (ENSSSCG00025073687.1)". The record is from RNAcentral. Lineage: Eukaryota; Metazoa; Chordata; Mammalia; Artiodactyla; Suidae.